Molecule: transfer RNA, 70 nt
Filed under: Anolis woodi
Lineage: Eukaryota; Metazoa; Chordata; Lepidosauria; Squamata; Anolidae
Description: tRNA-Ala
Source: RNAcentral
UAAGACCUAUCAGUGAUUAACUGGUAUCUUCUGAAUGCAACUCAGCUACUUUCAUUAAGCUAAAGCCUUU